UUGAACUGAAGAGUUUGAUCAUGGCUCAGAUUGAACGCUGGCGGCAGGCCUAACACAUGCAAGUCGAGCGGAUGAGUGGAGCUUGCUCCAUGAUU
This 95-nucleotide ribosomal RNA is filed under the name Stutzerimonas stutzeri TS44. RNAcentral describes it as "Pseudomonas stutzeri TS44 partial 16S ribosomal RNA". It matches the Rfam family "Bacterial small subunit ribosomal RNA", at positions 1 to 92 of the family's 1533-position model. Lineage: Bacteria; Pseudomonadati; Pseudomonadota; Gammaproteobacteria; Pseudomonadales; Pseudomonadaceae. The record is from RNAcentral.